This 976-nucleotide ribosomal RNA is filed under the name Peirates turpis. RNAcentral's name for it is "SSU rRNA". It matches the Rfam family "Eukaryotic small subunit ribosomal RNA", at positions 42 to 922 of the family's 1831-position model. Lineage: Eukaryota; Metazoa; Arthropoda; Insecta; Hemiptera; Reduviidae. The record is from RNAcentral.
GAUUCGCCAUGCACUGUCAGUACAUACUGAAUUAAAGUGAAACCGCAAAGGGCUCAGUAAACCAGUUUUAAUUUACUAGAGUUUUACACGUUUCGUACGUGGAUAACUGUGGUAAUUCUAGAGCUAAUACAUGCAUUUAAGUCCGGCCCAGAAAUGGAAAGGACGCUUUUAUUAGAUCAAAACCAUUCGCCCGGCUUGUUCUGGGCGUUGUUUUGGUGAAUCUAGAUAACACUUGAGAUCGUACAGUCACCGUACUGACGACAUCUCUUUCAAACGCCUGACUUAUCAGCUGUCGAUGGUAGACUCUGUGUCUACCAUGGCCCUCACGGGUAACGGGGAAUCAGGGUUCGAUUCCGGAGAGGGAGCCUGAGAAACGGCUACCACAUCCAAGGAAGGCAGCAGGCACGCAAAUUACCCACUCCCGGCACGGGGAGGUAGUGACAAAAAAUAACGAUACGGGACUCUAUUGAGGCCCCGUAAUCGGAAUGAGUACACUUUAAAUCCUUUAACAAGGAUCCAUUGGAGGGCAAGUCUGGUGCCAGCAGCCGCGGUAAUUCCAGCUCCAAUAGCGUAUAUUAAAGUUGUUGCGGUUAAAAAGCUCGUAGUUGGUUCUGCGUGCCGCGCUGUCGGUUCGCCGCCUGUCGGUGUAACUGGCAUGUCGCGGCAUGUCCUGUCGGUGGUGAACGGGAUCCCCGGUGCUGUUAAGGCUUAAUUGCCGAAGCAUGUACCGUGUGUGUUUCCGUUUGCCGAUCUCUCCUACUCCGGUGCUCUUAAACGAGUGUCGAGGUAGCCGACACGUUCACUUUGAACAAAUUAGAGUGCUUAAAGCAGGCUGAAAUAUCUGCCUGAUAGUGGUUGCAUGGGAAUGAUAAAACAGGACCUCGGUUCUAUUUUUGUUGGUUUUAGGAAUAUGAGGUAAUGAUCAUGGUGGACUGGCGGGGGCAUUCGUAUUGCGACGUUAGAGGUGAAAUUCUUG